RNAcentral lists this ribosomal RNA (483 nucleotides) under uncultured bacterium. RNAcentral describes it as "partial 16S ribosomal RNA". It matches the Rfam family "Bacterial small subunit ribosomal RNA", at positions 29 to 506 of the family's 1533-position model. The record is from RNAcentral.
AUUGAACGCUGGCGGCAUGCUUUACACAUGCAAGUCGAACGGCAGCGCGAGCUUCGGCCUGGCGGCGAGUGGCGAACGGGUGAGUAAUACAUCGGAACGUGCCCAGUAGUGGGGGAUAGCUCGGCGAAAGCCGGAUUAAUACCGCAUACGACCUGAGGGUGAAAGCGGGGGAUCUUCGGACCUCGCGCUAUUGGAGCGGCCGAUGGCAGAUUAGCUAGUUGGUGGGGUAAAGGCCUACCAAGGCGACGAUCUGUAGCUGGUCUGAGAGGACGACCAGCCACACUGGGACUGAGACACGGCCCAGACUCCUACGGGAGGCAGCAGUGGGGAAUUUUGGACAAUGGGCGAAAGCCUGAUCCAGCAAUGCCGCGUGUGUGAUGAAGGCCUUCGGGUUGUAAAGCACUUUUGGCGGGAACGAAAAGGACUGUGCCAAUACCACGGUUCGAUGACGGUACCCGCAGAAUAAGCACCGGCUAACUACGU